AAUUUUGGACAAUGGGGGAAACCCUGAUCCAGCCAUCCCGCGUGUAUGAUGAAGGCCUNCGGGUUNUNACGUACUUUUGGCAGAGNCGAAAAGGUAUCCCCUAAUACGGGAUGUGGCUGACGGUAUCUGCAGAUAAAGCACCGGCUAACUACGUGCCAGCAGCCGCGGUAAUACGUAGAGUGCAAGCGUUAAUCGGAAUUACUGGGCGUAAAGAGUGUGUAGGCGGUUCGGAAAGAAAGAUGUGAAAUACCAGGGCUCAACCUUGGAACUGCAUUUUUAACUGCCGAGCUAGAGUAUGUCAGAGGGGGGUAGAAUUCCACGUGUAGCAGUGAAAUGCGUAGAUAUGUGGAGGAAUACCGAUGGCGAAGGCAGCCCCCUGGGAUAAUACUGACGCUCAGACACGAAAGCGUGGGGAGCAAACAGG
Molecule: ribosomal RNA, 424 nt
Filed under: uncultured bacterium
Lineage: Bacteria
Description: partial 16S ribosomal RNA
Rfam family: Bacterial small subunit ribosomal RNA
Source: RNAcentral